Myotis brandtii (Brandt's bat) is the source of this 75-nucleotide non-coding RNA. Lineage: Eukaryota; Metazoa; Chordata; Mammalia; Chiroptera; Vespertilionidae. The record is from Rfam.
GGCAGUUCUUGGGGGAUGCACCCCGGGAUUAGGCCCCCUCCUUUCUGGUUCUGGGUGCAUCACCCGAGAACCACA